AGUGAACGCUGGCGGUAGGCCUAACACAUGCAAGUCGAACGGCAGCACAGUAAGAGCUUGCUCUUACGGGUGGCGAGUGGCGGACGGGUGAGGAAUACAUCGGAAUCUACUUUUUCGUGGGGGAUAACGUAGGGAAACUUACGCUAAUACCGCAUACGACCUACGGGUGAAAGCAGGGGAUCUUCGGACCUUGCGCGAUUGAAUGAGCCGAUGUCGGAUUAGCUAGUUGGCGGGGUAAAGGCCCACCAAGGCGACGAUCCGUAGCUGGUCUGAGAGGAUGAUCGGCCACACUGGAACUGAGACACGGUCAAGACUCCUACGGGAGGCAGCAGUGGGGAAUAUUGGACAAUGGGCGCAAGCCUUAUCCAGCCAUACCGCGUGGGUGAAGAAGGCCUUCGGGUUGUAAAGCCCUUUUGUUGGGAAAGAAAAGCAGCAGGUUAAUACCCCGCUGUUCUGACGGUACCCAAAGAAUAAGCACCGGCUAACUUCGUG
Molecule: ribosomal RNA, 492 nt
Filed under: uncultured bacterium
Lineage: Bacteria
Description: partial 16S ribosomal RNA
Rfam family: Bacterial small subunit ribosomal RNA
Source: RNAcentral